RNAcentral lists this ribosomal RNA (460 nucleotides) under uncultured bacterium. RNAcentral's name for it is "partial 16S ribosomal RNA". It matches the Rfam family "Bacterial small subunit ribosomal RNA", at positions 338 to 795 of the family's 1533-position model. The record is from RNAcentral.
CCUACGGGUGACAGCAGUGAGGAAUAUUGGUCAAUGGGCGGAAGCCUGAACCAGCCAAGUAGCGUGCAGGAUGACGGCCCUACGGGUUGUAAACUGCUUUUAUACGGGAAUCAAGCGCCUUACGUGUAGGGCUUUGCAUGUACCGUAUGAAUAAGGAACGGCUAAUUCCGUGCCAGCAGACGCGGUACUACGGAAGGUCCGGGCGUUAUCCGGAUUUAUUGGGUUUAAAGGGAGCGUAGGCCGCAUGUCAAGCGUGCUGUUAAAUAUCCGGGGUCCACCCUGGCCUGGCAGCGCGAACGGGCGUGCUUGAGUCCGCGGAAAGCAGGCGGAAUUCGUCGUGUAGCGGUGAAAUGCUUAGAUAUGUCGAAGAACCCCGAUUGCGAAGGCAGCUUGCUGCAGCGGAACUGACGCUGAUGCUCGAAAGCGCGGGUAUCGAACAGGAUUAGAUACCCCUGUAGUC